CUUCGUGCUGUGUAUUUUCCCUAGUGUUCCUGAAAAAACAGGACAAACAACAUACAACGAGAAGAGUGUGGAUGGGUUCCAUACCCCUGGAGAUUAAAAACUCAAAAAUUGCUUGUCACACAGGAUGAAAAUUUACACACGUGGAUUAACAGUUCCUACUUCAGCAGUGCUUUCAGUAUUGAACACAAUACAAAUACGAAAUGCAUAGCCAGUUCCGUGUACUAUCAUGCUGCCAGCCCCUUUAUUUUUGGCCUGGGGAACCACUUCUUCUCACCUGUCAGCCUGGUGUUUUGGGAGAAGAGUAUAAUGCAGGUGGAUACACAUGGCAUCAUCCCCAAAGACCACAGGAAGUGAGAAGGACAUGCUUUCUGGGCAGGCGGAAAAUACCCAUGGGUGGGAACGGACGGGACAGCAGGCUCACUACCAUCCGUAAGAGGGAGCAUGCCAAUAUCUUUCUUGGCUGAGGGCCAUUACAUUUCCUCUGAUGGAAGUGUGCUGAGAGGUCUGUCAGUAGCACCAGGUUUUUGGCAGCAUCACUGAUUAGCGAGCCAAGGGAAAUAUGGUCUUAAGAUUAUAUUGUCUCCUUGUGUUCUUCAAGAAGAUAGGUGCAAACAAAAAGCACAGCCUCACAUGGGAAUAACCCACCACUUUUGGCAAUUACACAUCAUCAGAAGCAGAAAAGGAUCAGUGCCAAGAGGCUGGAAAAAAGACCCGUGGACCUGUGUAUUUAAGUUUGGAAAGACCUUGAUGAAGGGGAGAGCACUUCCCAUUCAUAAAUUAAAACUUUGUUUAUAAAACUUUAAA
Molecule: long non-coding RNA, 804 nt
Organism: Oreochromis niloticus (Nile tilapia)
Lineage: Eukaryota; Metazoa; Chordata; Actinopteri; Cichliformes; Cichlidae
Exons: 3
Source: RefSeq, a predicted model, not a curated record